AACGCACAUUGCGCCCUUUGGUAUUCCGAGGGGCAUGCCUGUUCGAGCGUUAUUAUGACCAAUCAAGCCUGGCUUGGUGUUGGGGCACGCAGUUCUGUGGCCCCUGAAAUCAGUGGCAGUGCCUAUUUGGCUCUAAGCGUAGUAAUUUCUCCUCGCUAUAGGGUCCUAGUAGAUGCUUGCCAAAAUCCCCCAACUAUAUUCACGGUUGACCUCGGAUCAGGUAGGGAUACCCGCUGAACUUAA
This 243-nucleotide unclassified non-coding RNA is filed under the name uncultured fungus. RNAcentral's name for it is "sequence contains ITS2". The record is from RNAcentral. Lineage: Eukaryota; Fungi.